Molecule: non-coding RNA, 778 nt
Filed under: Opisina arenosella
Lineage: Eukaryota; Metazoa; Arthropoda; Insecta; Lepidoptera; Oecophoridae
Source: RNAcentral
AUAAAUUUUUUAUGGUUUAAAAAAUUUAAUAUAAAUAUAUUUUACAUAUAAAUUUUAGUAUAAAUUUUUAAUUAUUUUAAUAAUAAUUAAUUUAAUUAGUAGUAAUUAAUAUUAAAAAUUUAAGAAAUUAAGAUUUAGUAAUAUUUAAAUUAAUAACAAAUUUUGUGCCAGCAGUUGCGGUUAUACAAAAGUUAGAAUAAAUUUUAUUAGUAAUUAAUUAACAUAAUUUAAAAAUAAGUAAAUAAAUAUGAAAUUAUUAAGUGAAAUUUUAAUUUUGUAAAAAGUUAUUUAUUAAAUGUGAUUUAAUAAAUUUAAAAAUAAACUAGGAUUAGAUACCCUAUUAUAAAAAUUAAAUUAAAAAUACUAAAAUAGUAAAUAAUUAUUUAUUAAAACUUAAAUAAUUUGGCGGUAUUUUAGUUUAUUUAGAGGAAUCUGUCUAAUAAUUGAUAAUCCACGAAUAAAUUUACUUAAUUUAAAUUUUGUAUAUCGUUGUUAUAAAAAUAUUUUUUAAUAAUUAAUAAUAUUUUAAAAUUUAAAAUAAAAAUUAAAUCAGAUCAAGAUGCAGAUAAUAAUUAAGAAUAUGAUGGAUUACAAUAAAUUUAUUUAAAAUUGGAUAUUAAUUUGAAAAAAUUAAUUGAAAUUGGAUUUAAAUGUAAUUUUAUUUAAUUUAUUAAAAUGAUUAAAAAUUAAAAUAUGUACAUAUUGCCCGUCGCUUUCAUUAAUAAAUUGAAAUAAGUCGUAACAAAGUAGAGGUACUGGAAAGUGUUUCUAGAAAGAA